AUGGCAGCUCAACCAAAGGAGCAUUUGUCU
Molecule: non-coding RNA, 30 nt
Filed under: Rattus norvegicus (Norway rat)
Lineage: Eukaryota; Metazoa; Chordata; Mammalia; Rodentia; Muridae
Source: RNAcentral